GUUUGCAACCAUGCCACCCUGAAUAAGCCCGAUCCUAUCUGACCUCAGAAGCUAAGCAGGGUCGGGCCUGGUUAGUACUUGGAUGGGAGACUACCUAGGUGCUGUAGGCGUCAAAAC
RNAcentral lists this ribosomal RNA (117 nucleotides) under Pteropus alecto (black flying fox). The record is from RNAcentral. Lineage: Eukaryota; Metazoa; Chordata; Mammalia; Chiroptera; Pteropodidae.